RNAcentral lists this ribosomal RNA (596 nucleotides) under Streptomyces sp. MDRC-144. Its description in RNAcentral is "bacterial SSU rRNA". It matches the Rfam family "Bacterial small subunit ribosomal RNA", at positions 285 to 891 of the family's 1533-position model. Lineage: Bacteria; Bacillati; Actinomycetota; Actinomycetes; Kitasatosporales; Streptomycetaceae. The record is from RNAcentral.
AGCCGGCCUGAGAGGGCGACCGGCCACACUGGGACUGAGACACGGCCCAGACUCCUACGGGAGGCAGCAGUGGGGAAUAUUGCACAAUGGGCGCAAGCCUGAUGCAGCGACGCCGCGUGAGGGAUGACGGCCUUCGGGUUGUAAACCUCUUUCAGCAGGGAAGAAGCGCAAGUGACGGUACCUGCAGAAGAAGCACCGGCUAACUACGUGCCAGCAGCCGCGGUAAUACGUAGGGUGCGAGCGUUGUCCGGAAUUAUUGGGCGUAAAGAGCUCGUAGGCGGCUUGUUGCGUCGAUUGUGAAAGCCCGGGGCUCAACCCCGGGUCUGCAGUCGAUACGGGCAGGCUUGAGUUCGGUAGGGGAGAUCGGAAUUCCUGGUGUAGCGGUGAAAUGCGCAGAUAUCAGGAGGAACACCGGUGGCGAAGGCGGAUCUCUGGGCCGAUACUGACGCUGAGGAGCGAAAGCGUGGGGAGCGAACAGGAUUAGAUACCCUGGUAGUCCACGCCGUAAACGGUGGGAACUAGGUGUGGGCGACAUUCCACGUCGUCCGUGCCGCAGCUAACGCAUUAAGUUCCCCGCCUGGGGAGUACGGCCGCAA